Molecule: ribosomal RNA, 494 nt
Filed under: uncultured bacterium
Lineage: Bacteria
Description: partial 16S ribosomal RNA
Rfam family: Bacterial small subunit ribosomal RNA
Source: RNAcentral
GACGAACGCUGGCGGCGUGCUUGACACAUGCAAGUCGAACGGAAAGGCCUGCUUUCCCUUGUGGAUUGCGGGUACUCGAGUGGCGAACGGGUGAGUAACACGUGAGUGAUCUGCCCCCAACUUGGGUAUAAGCCUGGGAAACUGGGUCUAAUUCCCGAUAGGACUGCAGGGUGGUGCCUGUGGUGGAAAACGAUUUUCUAGUGGUUGGGGAUGAGCUCGCGGCCUAUCAGCUUGUUGGUGGGGUAAUGGCCUACCAAGGCGGCGACGGGUAGCCGGCCUGAGAGGGUGGACGGCCACAUUGGGACGGAGAUACGGCCCAGACUCCUACGGGAGGCAGCAGUGGGGAAUAUUGCACAAUGGGCGGAAGCCUGAUGCAGCGACGCCGCGUGGGGGAUGACGGCCUUCGGGUUGUAAACUCCUUUCGACCGCGAGGAAGCCACCUGGUUGGAAGGGUGGUGACGGUAGUGGUAGAAGAAGCACCGGCUAACUACGUG